RNAcentral lists this ribosomal RNA (301 nucleotides) under uncultured bacterium. RNAcentral's name for it is "partial 16S ribosomal RNA". It matches the Rfam family "Bacterial small subunit ribosomal RNA", at positions 509 to 807 of the family's 1533-position model. The record is from RNAcentral.
CAGCCGCCACGGUAAAACGGAGGGGGCUAGCGUUGUUCGGAAUUACUGGGCGUAAAGCGCACGUAGGCGGCUUGGUAAGUUAGAGGUGAAAGCCUGGAGCUCAACUCCAGAAUUGCCUUUAAGACUGCCGAGCUAGCAGGUGAGAGAGGUAAGUGGAAUUCCGAGUGUAGAGGUGAAAUUCGUAGAUAUUCGGAAGAACACCAGAGGCGAAGGCGGCUUACUGGCUCAUACUGGACGCUGAGGUGCGAAAGCGUGGGGAGCAAACAGGAUUAGAGACCCGCGUAGUCCCUGUCUCUUAUAC